This 71-nucleotide transfer RNA is filed under the name Dinophyceae sp. TGD. Its description in RNAcentral is "tRNA-Gly". It matches the Rfam family "tRNA". From Rfam's summary of the family: Transfer RNA (tRNA) molecules are approximately 80 nucleotides in length. Lineage: Eukaryota; Dinophyceae. The record is from RNAcentral.
GCGGGUACUGCAUAGAGGUUGUGUUCUUACCUUCCAAGUAAGAGGGGCGGGUUCAAUUCCCGCUACCCGCU